This 388-nucleotide ribosomal RNA is filed under the name uncultured bacterium. RNAcentral's name for it is "bacterial SSU rRNA". It matches the Rfam family "Bacterial small subunit ribosomal RNA", at positions 28 to 416 of the family's 1533-position model. The record is from RNAcentral.
GACAAACGCUGGCGGGGUGCAUGAGACAUGCAAGUCGCACGGGGUUGAUCGGGCUUGCUCGAUCAACCUAGUGGCGAACGGCUGAGUAACGCGUAGGUGACCUACCCGGAAGUGGGGAAUAACUGCCCGAAAGGGUGGCUAAUACCGCAUGUGGUCGGCGAAUCAGAUCGCCGUCCAAAGCCGAAAGGCGCUUCCGGAGGGGCCUGCGUCCGAUUAGCUAGUUGGCGGGGUAACGGCUCACCAAGGCGACGAUCGGUAGCUGGUCUGAGAGGAUGAUCAGCCAGACUGGGACUGAGAACGGCCCAGACUCCUACGGGAGGCAGCAGUCGGGAAUUUUGCCCAAUGGACGAAAGUCUGAGGCAGCAACUCCGCGUGAGGGAUGAAGGCC